This 73-nucleotide transfer RNA is filed under the name Dermacentor andersoni. Its description in RNAcentral is "transfer RNA serine (anticodon UGA)". It matches the Rfam family "tRNA". Rfam says of the family: Transfer RNA (tRNA) molecules are approximately 80 nucleotides in length. The record is from RNAcentral. Lineage: Eukaryota; Metazoa; Arthropoda; Arachnida; Ixodida; Ixodidae.
GCCGCGGUAGCUCAAUUGGUAGAGCAUCGCACGUGAAUUGCGAAGGAUGUGGGAUCGAUUGCCAUCUGCGGCA